UGGGGAAUAUUGCACAAUGGGGGAAACCCUGACCCAGCAACGCCGCGUGAAGGAAGAAGGCUUUCGGGUUGUAAACUUCUUUUACCAGGGACGAAGGACGUGACGGUACCUGGAGAAAAAGCAACGGCUAACUACGUGCCAGCAGCCGCGGUAAUACGUAGGUGGCGAGCGUUAUCCGGAAUUAUUGGGCGUAAAGAGGGAGCAGGCGGCACUAAAGGUCUGUGGUGAAAGCCCGAAGCUUAACUUCGGUAAGCCAUGGAAACCGUAGAGCUAGAGUGUGUGAGAGGAUCGUGGAAUUCCAUGUGUAGCGGUGAAAUGCGUAGAUAUAUGGAGGAACACCAGUGGCGAAGGCGACGAUCUGGCGCACAACUGACGCUCAGUCCCGAAAGCGUGGGGAGCAAAUAGGAUUAGAUACC
Molecule: ribosomal RNA, 416 nt
Filed under: uncultured bacterium
Lineage: Bacteria
Description: bacterial SSU rRNA
Rfam family: Bacterial small subunit ribosomal RNA
Source: RNAcentral